GGAGAGGAGAGGGAGAGGUUCUGGGAAGAAGCAAAAAAUAUAUAAAAAAAGAGGGAGAGGAGCCCAGGAAGAGGAGCAACACCCCCAGGACUGCACCCCGGACAUGCCCUCCUGUGCUUUAAUGUGAAAUGACAUCCAAACUGGAGAGA
Molecule: long non-coding RNA, 149 nt
Organism: Nanorana parkeri
Lineage: Eukaryota; Metazoa; Chordata; Amphibia; Anura; Dicroglossidae
Exons: 2
Source: RefSeq, a predicted model, not a curated record